GCAAAAUAGCAUACUUCAGAAUACUACUCACAAGAACAUUCCAAUCUCAACUAGCUAUUCUCCACUGAACAUUUGUUUAACCCAAUGCAUAGUUUUCAGCUAAUUCAUGGGAUAGAUCGACUUGAAUUCAUGAAAGGAAGUCAUCACUUUGUCUUCCUUUUAUUUUAAAGUAUGGCCGUGCUUAACCAUGCCGCUCAAAAUGAACAGUAUCAACACUGACAAUCAUACAUGGUCAUGGGUCAACUCUUCAAUGUACAUAAGACUUGAAUAUAUAUUAAACUAGUAAGAGCAAUUUUCCAGAAAAAAUAGUGGUAAAGUUUUAACUAGAUCAGACAUUUUGGGUUCUAUACCUCAUUAAAAAGUCUCUCAGGUUUUUCACUAACCGGGGCUAGAAGUCCUUAAUGAGGAAGAUCUCUGAAUACCCUUACAGUACUUGCACUACCAAAACUAUGUCCACAAUUUCUCAAGUAGCCCAGCACGAUGAUCAAAGCUCAAACUGUGUUGAGACAAGAAAAAU
This 517-nucleotide long non-coding RNA is filed under the name Setaria italica (foxtail millet). Its description in RNAcentral is "long non-coding RNA (SITA_LNC004264)". The record is from RNAcentral. Lineage: Eukaryota; Viridiplantae; Streptophyta; Magnoliopsida; Poales; Poaceae.